Molecule: non-coding RNA, 3278 nt
Organism: Zonotrichia albicollis (white-throated sparrow)
Lineage: Eukaryota; Metazoa; Chordata; Aves; Passeriformes; Passerellidae
Source: RefSeq, a predicted model, not a curated record
UAAAGACAGCUUUAUUACCUAUCAGGGAAGGAACAAUGUAAAAAUGCAUAAAUUGAACAUAGUCCACCAAAUUAAAUUCACCCUGGCUGCAGCAAAUUGAAAUUAUAUGAAACUUCAGCAAGGCACUUCUAUUUUUCUCACAUUGUCCAAUCUUAUUUACACACAAUGUUUAGUAUUUGGGCAAGUGUUCAAUAAAUAUCAGCCAAUAUGACCCAGUGCAGAAACUCCUAUCUAUAAGAGGUAUGAAUCCUGCUCUUUUGGCCUUCAAACAGGAAGUGGUUUAGACCCUCAAACCAGUACUGAGUUUCCUGUUAAAGCAUCUCUUCUUUUGGACAUUUUUUUUUAUUACUUAAGAUGUGUUAUUGUCAUUUCAUGCUGUAGAAGAAAUUAUAGUAACACAUAUUACAGUAAAUAACAGUAAAACAUUUGCCACGUAAAUUUAAUAAAAACAGAAAACUAAGACUAUGUAACAAAUGAGACAAACAUAUCAAUAUUCUAUUUUACUGUUUCAUUGUACAAAUAUUUAUAAUGCAUAUGUUGUAUGGGGCAACAUAAUGUGAAAGCAGAAUAGCUAUUAAGUUUCAGACACAUUUAGCCUGUGUUCUAAAGAUUAAGUGAAACAAAUUCUUUGAAAUUCUGUACUUUCAGAGGUUUCACAUGCAUUAUAUUAUAUUUUUCCUUUCUUUUACCAAAAUGAUUGAGGUAUGACCUACGUACAGAAAAGAGAUAACUUUGUAAGAAAAACUAUACAAAUAAGUGCUAGUGGCUUGCCUAGUCUGUAGUUUUAAACACAGUUAAGACAUUUAGAUCAUGUAUUCCAACCUCCUGUAUUCACAUCCUCCCCUUCACAACCAUUUUGCCCAAAUAGCUUAUGCUAAGGCUAACAAAUUGAGUCAAACAAAAACAUCUCAUCAGUUUUGUGCUGAAGCAACUGCCUUCUCUCAGCAGCAAACAGCAAAGACCCAGGUUCCACCACAGCCCGGGGCUCUUUGACUAGCGCAGAGCUCAUUAAGUAAGAAAUGUUCCAAGGAUCUGAAAGAGAUGAAUCAUAACCCAUGACAAGGAAAAUCAUAAGUAAAUAAACAACUUCUCAUGGACAAACACAAACCAAGGAAACAUUAAAAACCUAGUCCAGCCUGAUCGGCAGAAAAGAAAAUGUAUUUUUGGUCUGAUCAGUUUGAGCUCUGGCAUAUGGAUAAAUACCAACCCAUGUCAUACAAUUAAGAUUCUUUGUACCAUUUUUGAUCCCUUAACCUGGCAUAUAUUGAACUGUCUGCAGCUACAAAAUAAGAUCUAGCCAAACAAAGAAUUUAAAAAAUACAUCUGUCGCUCGUAAAGUGAAAUUAAAAGUGAUUAAUUUGCUCUUGCACAUAAGUGCCUAAAAUAAUCAGGCAUGUUAUGUUUGAUCAUAGUAAUUGCCAUGUUUUUCUUGAGUCCAAAGCAAAAUGUAUUGCAUGAAAAUAGUUUCUAAAGUAUGUUCUCUUUUUUCUAGAGGAAUGUAAAGUAGAGAAGACUUCCCCAAAAUGGAAAAUAAAAUGUCAACAUCAAGAAAAGAGUUGUGAUCACAUGACGCAUCUCCAUUUCUGUUUUCCUUCCAGUAGUUUGACUUCUUUUCCUUAUGAAAGAACCACAAUCUGGUUACAAAAACUACAAAUGAUGCUGUAUAUCCUGCCUUUUUACAGAUACCUCAAAAAAGAUAAGCAUUUUUCAAAUUUUCAUCUGUGGAAAGGAUCUUCGUUUCAUCUUGCAGCUCAAACUUGCUUCCACUGGAUUGUACCAUAAUGUUUUGCCUGCACAUGUGAAUACAGACCCAGAUAAGCAAAUAGGAAGAAAUUACUCACCUUAGACCAAGUUGUGACUCCUGAGGGAUCUUGCUUUAGGAGUAACUGACAAAGAACAGCUUCAUAUUGUACACAAUGUUUUAAUCCAUUCCUUAGACCUUGUAUUUAUCUUUUGUCAUUUAAGCUUUUGGCUGAAACACAAAACUGUGAUAUCAAGCAAUGUACUACAGAAGUCUAGUACAAUGUAACACUGAUUUUGACCAAACUUAAAAUCUCAAUAAAAUAACUGGUUAUUUUGACAAGAUAACAUUAAAUGAUCCUCUAAACAUUCUUUUGAUUGCUUAUUGAGAAUUACCCAGCAUUGAGUGUAUUAUUUACCAUGUCAGAUGUCUAACUGCUUAAGAUUUAAGAAAAUGUACCUAGAAUAAGAUGGCUCUUCACUCUCUUUUUUCAAAACUAUCAUUAGAAACAUUAACUUUAUUGCAAUUUCUGAAAAUGUUCAUGGUUUCUCCAAAUUAUUAGAAAGCAGCCCAUGCAGAUUGUAGAUAUGACUUUAAAUGAUCUAAAAGAUCCGUAUUAUCUGAAAAACUCCUACCAGACAACAGGUUAUAAUAGAACCUAUUUAAUAAUGUACCUAGACACAGAUGGGAAUAAUAAAAGAAAAUAGUAAUAGUCAUAUGGAAAAUACAUAUAACCUAUCUUUUUUGUCCAAAUGCAGAAAUUGAUUAUUUGUCAAACCUAUCCCUAAUUUUCACCCCACUCCAGUCAGGAAGAGCUAGGUUGUUUUCAGCAGAUUAUAAAUGGACUUUUAGAUAACAUGGAUCAUUUUGACAGAGGAUGAGGUGAGCAUUGGGAACAGUAAACUGUGGAAAAGCAUAUGUGGUCCAGCCAUAACCAGUGUUGACCCUGUGAGAUGCUGGCCUAGAGUUCCAAAAGCUGAACUUAGCCCAUGACGUUUAGAAGCAAGGACAGGCUUUUCAAUGAGCUCCCUAAUUAUAAAUACACAGAGAAGGCAAAGAAGGGAAAAAAGAUGUGAGUGCAAUCAGACCAAUUCCAGUUACAGCAAUUCUUCUUAACAUCUCAAAAAAGUCAGGGUGAGAGUGUUAGAAACAAAAGAAAAUAACAACAGAGAUUAAAGCAGCAAGCAGUUGAGUAACAGACACAAAACUAAAAAUAUAAGUGAUACUCAUGACUAGAAGAUGUCACAUUCUGCUUUUGAAAUACUGCCCCACAUCAUACAGGCCUUGUGAGCCAUGUGAAACCUGUAAUCAAAUUAAUAAGAAUAGUAAAUUCUCUUUUGUUUUUUUAUCCCCUUAACUCAUAUGUAUUUAUUUAGGAGUUUUGGGUUUUUUUCCCCCAAAUCAAUCCAUUUAGUAGGUGGAACAGCCCAUCAUUUUCUUUUCUUUUUGUUUUUUUCCAGGGAGAAUUAGGCUUUCUGAAGUGAUCCAAGCUAAAGGGUCUCAAAUCAGGCACACAACAAGUGAAAUUAAUGGUUUU